UACAGAGGUCUCAAGCGUUGUUCGGAUUCAUUGGGCGUAAAGGGUGCGUAGGCGGCGCGGUAAGUCGGGUGUGAAAUCUCGGAGCUUAACUCCGAAACUGCAUUCGAUACUGCCGUGCUUUGAGGACUGGAGAGGAGACUGGAAUUUACGGUGUAGCGGUGAAAUGCGUAGAUAUCGUAAGGAAGACCAGUGGCGAAGGCGGGUCUCUGGACCGAUACUGACGCUGAGGAGCGAAAGCGUGGGGAGCGAACAGG
RNAcentral lists this ribosomal RNA (254 nucleotides) under uncultured bacterium. Its description in RNAcentral is "partial 16S ribosomal RNA". It matches the Rfam family "Bacterial small subunit ribosomal RNA", at positions 524 to 776 of the family's 1533-position model. The record is from RNAcentral.